Molecule: small nuclear RNA, 131 nt
Organism: Cheilinus undulatus (humphead wrasse)
Lineage: Eukaryota; Metazoa; Chordata; Actinopteri; Labriformes; Labridae
Product: U4atac minor spliceosomal RNA
Exons: 1
Source: RefSeq, a predicted model, not a curated record
UCUUUCCUUGUCAUGGGGUGGUUUGGGAAGCUCAAUGAACGGAUAGUGAGAGUCUCCCUGCUGACACCAUGAAACAACACAAACGCACCAACUGGACUGCUAGUCCAGACCCUGGUGCAAUUUUUGGAACC